UACAGAGGUCCCGAGCGUUGUUCGGAUUCACUGGGCGUAAAGGGUGCGUAGGCGGCGCGGUAAGUCGGGUGUGAAAUUUCGAGGCUUAACUUCGAAACUGCAUUCGAUACUGCCGUGCUUGAGGACUGGAGAGGAGACUGGAAUUUACGGUGUAGCGGUGAAAUGCGUAGAUAUCGUAAGGAAGACCAGUGGCGAAGGCGGGUCUCUGGACAGUUCCUGACGCUGAGGCACGAAGGCCAGGGGAGCAAACGGG
Molecule: ribosomal RNA, 253 nt
Filed under: uncultured bacterium
Lineage: Bacteria
Description: partial 16S ribosomal RNA
Rfam family: Bacterial small subunit ribosomal RNA
Source: RNAcentral